AAGAAAGAAAGAAAGAAAGAAAGAAAAGAAAGAACAAGCAAACCAGCACCACAUAUGACAUUUAUAAUAAAAUCAACUCAUAUUCUUAAGCAUAAGAGAAAGCAUAUAAUGCAAGAGUACUAGAAAAGUACUAGAAUAGAAUCAAACUCUCAUCUUAGAAAUGGUAUUUUUGGAACAUUAUUAUAAUCUAAUAAGUGGUACCCUAAUUGUCCAAAAACAAGUUAGCAGUUAAAAUCUUUUGAUAGUAUUGGGCCUAUGGGAUUCAAGCAUGAGUUAAAUUUUGACUUGAUUUUUCCUCGGGGCAAUUUCCAACUCUGAGAGCAUGGGAUUCAUUUAUAGGUUUGGAUUUAAUUUGGACCGUCCACAUCAUCCUUUUCUUCAAAUGACCUGAGGGUGCUGAAGUGAGUUCCACUUUCUUUUCCUUCCUCAGUUCCUCAUGGUGGUAAAUGAGUACCCAUCCAGAUGCUCCAGCCAAAACUCUUGAUUCUAAGACCUUUCAAUUCUACCCUCAGAUUACAUCCUAUAUACACCUGCUUUGCUCCACCCUGCUGCCAUUUUCCUGGUCCAAUCCACCAAAAUCUGCCACCAGAGUCCCCUAAGCAGACAUCGUGUUUCCGGUCUUGUCUCUCUCCAAUCUACUGGAGCAGCCAAAGGGACAGUCAAUGUCCAUGUUGUCCCACUGUUUGAAUAACUCCACAGCAUGCCCCUGUCUCUCUCUGUGCCAUGCCAACC
Molecule: long non-coding RNA, 732 nt
Filed under: Homo sapiens (human)
Lineage: Eukaryota; Metazoa; Chordata; Mammalia; Primates; Hominidae
Description: HSALNT0081572
Source: RNAcentral